Molecule: transfer RNA, 75 nt
Filed under: Propionibacterium australiense
Lineage: Bacteria; Bacillati; Actinomycetota; Actinomycetes; Propionibacteriales; Propionibacteriaceae
Description: tRNA-Pro(ggg)
Source: RNAcentral
CGAUCCGAUGGCCCACGGCGAGCCGGGGUCGUUGGGGCCGGCCUGCAGCGUGUUGUUCGGCCCCUUGCGGAAGGC